Molecule: long non-coding RNA, 192 nt
Organism: Alosa sapidissima (American shad)
Lineage: Eukaryota; Metazoa; Chordata; Actinopteri; Clupeiformes; Clupeidae
Exons: 3
Source: RefSeq, a predicted model, not a curated record
UGUGCUGUGCGUACAACAGGGUUACCAGAACUCUGUUGUUACAUCCAGAAUAAAGAACUAUUCUUUCGCAAGCCAGCCUCAAGUUUUACCUGCUCUUAACUACACUGGAAUCUACUCGGUCAACUGUGUCUCCAUUUGGAAUUAAGGAGACAAUUUUGAUAGCAUUCUUCACUGACAAAAACAUUUCAUUAC